AUUGAACGCUGGCGGCAGGCCUAACACAUGCAAGUCGAACGGUAGCACAGAGAGCUUGCUCUCGGGUGACGGGUGGCGGACGGGUGAGUAACGUCUGGGAAACUGCCCGAUGGAGGGGGAUAACUACUGGAAACGGUAGCUAAUACCGCAUAACGUCGCAAGACCAAAGUGGGGGACCUUCGGGCCUCACACCAUCGGAUGUGCCCAGAUGGGAUUAGCUAGUAGGUGGGGUAAUGGCUCACCUAGGCGACGAUCCCUAGCUGGUCUGAGAGGAUGACCAGCCACACUGGAACUGAGACACGGUCCAGACUCCUACGGGAGGCAGCAGUGGGGAAUAUUGCACAAUGGGCGCAAGCCUGAUGCAGCCAUGCCGCGUGUAUGAAGAAGGCCUUCGGGUUGUAAAGUACUUUCAGCGGGGAGGAAGGCGGUGAAGUUAAUAGCUUAACCGAUUGACGUUACCCGCAGAAGAAGCACCGGCUAACUCCGUGCCAGCCGCCGCGGUAA
This 504-nucleotide ribosomal RNA is filed under the name uncultured bacterium. RNAcentral's name for it is "partial 16S ribosomal RNA". It matches the Rfam family "Bacterial small subunit ribosomal RNA", at positions 29 to 523 of the family's 1533-position model. The record is from RNAcentral.